Molecule: long non-coding RNA, 2635 nt
Filed under: Homo sapiens (human)
Lineage: Eukaryota; Metazoa; Chordata; Mammalia; Primates; Hominidae
Description: non-protein coding MIR1-1HG-AS1:50
Source: RNAcentral
GGGACAAUGAGCUUUGGUAUUUGUGGUUUAAGGCGUGAAUGAAUGAAGGAGCAAGCAGUAAGCCCCGACAGCAAGGCCACCACAGCCCUCGCCCCACAGGGACGCCUGAGCAAGGACCCAAGCAGGGGACAAGCAGGCUCACCCCGCCCUUGCGGGGCUGACCACGAGGCCCCGUCCGGUGGAACACGCCAUGACGCUUCAGGAGGCUCAUGUAGCUGGCGCCGUAUGGGACAGCGGGGGAGAGAGAAAAUGCACAGCCCAGGGAAUGUGGAGACAGGCCCAGCGCCAGGCAUGGGGGCCGGAAGGAGCAGCCGGGGAGCAGGGGGCAGGGCCUGGAGUCCCGCCUUGCAGGUCAGAGAUCUGAACCUGCCCCAGCCCCAGGACUCUGAGUGCAGCAAGAGGGGAGCCGGGCUGGAGAGUGGGGAGCACGGAGACUGUGGCCUGGAUGGUGCCAGAGCAAACAGGAGAGAGGCUGCCCAACGCAGAGGCUGCAGCACAGACCAGAGGGUCCCGGGGCUGACUGGGUGGGGGCAGCUCCCAGCGAGAGGCCCCUGGGAUUUGGGUAAGUAGAGGCACAUGCAGACUCUGGCCACAGGGCACCUCGCGCACGAGGGGAGUUCACCACACAAGCUGAGCGGAGGGCGGACGCAGGAGAGCAGCGGUUUCUCGGAAGCCAAGGGCGGUCAUGGAGCCCCACGCCACAGCGCUUCCCACGGGGCCACACCAUCCGGUCUGCGGAGGGGGCUGCAUUGCCGGGAAGGACCAUCUGAUUCUGGAUUCCAGCCUCACCCUGGGCCACCGCUGAGUGUCCCAAGUGGCCCCUUAGCCCCCAGGGCCAGGCGGCAUCCCAAUCCCCUAGGGAUGUCUGUGCUCAGAAUGUGGCACACACGCCCCGGCAGGGCCAUCCUCCUCCUCCUGCACCCGCCACAGCCGUGGAUUCGGGGUCUCUAUCGUGGGCAGAAAUUCACACAGUCAAGGUGAGGGUCCCAGGAGCAGCUGUGACCAGGCCCCGGCUGCCAGGGAGAGGGGGUCUUCAGCCGACGGGGCAGACACCCUGAGAUGGACCCUUGUCCAGGGGAGGGCCCUGCCACCCACAAUUCCUUGGCAUUCCUGCACCAGCAGGACGGGCUGAGGGAGGCGCCUCACCAGUGCCAGCGCCCAGCAUCACUGUGCCCCGGUGGAGGGGGAGGCCCUUCCGAGCCUGGGCCUGGGUGUGGAUGAGGGCAGGUCUCUCACCUCUCUGACCUCAGCUUCCUCAACUGGGAAGGGGGGCCACAGCACCCCCUUAGGGGUGAUGAGGAAGUGGGAGCUCAGGGAGGACCCCGGGCAGGGCUGCCUCCUCACCUCUCUUCGGCCUUUGGACACUGGAGCUCAGAGGACCAAGUGAAUGAAUGAAUGACUCGAUCAAUCAACUGAUCCAUGAAUCCAUGGACCCCUGAACAGCUGGACAGCUGGGCUGUGGGCAGGACAGGGGACUCUGGCUGAAGCCGCGUUCAUAUGUGUUCAGCUUUAGGCCUCCACUGUGCCCGGACCAGCGGCCCACUCAGUGAGUCGAGUGUGCACCUGGCACCCCUCUUUCUGGAAAUCCACGAACAAUGGGCUCCCAGCAGAGGACUGAGGCUGAGCAGGCCACUUCCCUGGAGCUGACCCCACAGCUGUGUAGGUACAGGGUGGCCGUGAACACUUAGGGCUCUCUCGGGCUGUGCGCUUCUUGUUCACUGCAAGGAGCAGGGUGUUGGCUCCUGACCAAGCCCUGUCACUGCUGCCCAGCCACACGUGGGGCCCCUUCACCCACCCCUGACCACCUCAUGCAGGUGAAGCCACUGUGGAAACAGCCUGGCAGUCCCUUGAAAAAUGAAGUCAUAAACCCCAGCAAUUGCACUCCUGGGCCUCUGACAGAGCUUGCACGUCCCCUCCAAAGCUCGUGUUAAGCUGUGAGCCCCAGUGCCGGAGGUGGGGCCUGGUGUGUUUGGGUUCUGGGGGUGGAUCCCUCAUGGCUGGGUGCCAUGAACCCACUCACCACAGUGAGUUCUCACGAGAUCUGGUUGUUGAGAAGUGUGUCAUACCUCCCCCACAACUCUCUGUCUUUUGUUCCGGCUCUGGCAAUGUAACAAGCCUGCUCCUCCUUCGCCUUCUGCCAUGACUGUAAGCUUUCUGAGGGCUGACCAGAAGCCCAGCAGAUGCCAGCACCAUGCUUCCUAUACAGCCUGCAGAACCGUGAGCCAGCUAAACCUCUCCUCAUAAAUCACCGAGCCCCAGGUUUAUCUUUACAGCAAUGCAAGACCUGACUAAUACAGCACCAGCUCCCCAAAAUAAAAAGAAAUAUUCAAACAAAUAAGCGCACAGAAGUGUUCCCAGCAGCACUAUUCACAGCAGCCAAAAGGCGGAGGAGCCACAGGCUUGUCAGCUGAUGACAGAUAAAGAAAGCAUGGCCUGUCAUCCCAGCACUUUGGGAGGCCGAGGUGGGUGGAUCACCUGAGGUUGGGAGUUCAAGACCAGCCUGGCCAACAUGGUGAAACCCAGUCUCUACUAAAAAUAUAAAAAUUAGCUGGGUGUGAUGAUGAGCGCCUGUAGUCCCAGCUACUUGGAAGGCUGAGGAACAAGAAUCGCUUGAACCCGGGAGGCAGAGGUCGCA